CCUACGGGAGGCAGCAGUGGGGAAUAUUGGACAAUGGGGGGAACCCUGAUCCAGCCAUGCCGCGUGUGUGAAGAAGGCCCUCGGGUUGUAAAGCACUUUCAGUGAGGAAGAACGCCUGGUGGUUAAUACCCAUCAGGAAAGACAUCACUCACAGAAGAAGCACCGGCUAACUCCGUGCCAGCAGCCGCGGUAAUACGGAGGGUGCGAGCGUUAAUCGGAAUUACUGGGCGUAAAGCGCGCGUAGGUGGCUUGAUAAGCCGGUUGUGAAAGCCCCGGGCUCAACCUGGGAACGGCAUCCGGAACUGUCAAGCUAGAGUGCAGGAGAGGAAGGUAGACUUCCCGGUGUAGCGGUGAAAUGCGUAGAGAUCGGGAGGAAUACCAGUGGCGAAGGCGGCCUUCUGGACUGACACUGACACUGAGGUGCGAAAGCGUGGGUAGCAAACAGGAGUAGAUACCCCUGUAGUC
This 465-nucleotide ribosomal RNA is filed under the name Vreelandella stevensii. RNAcentral's name for it is "partial 16S ribosomal RNA". It matches the Rfam family "Bacterial small subunit ribosomal RNA", at positions 338 to 795 of the family's 1533-position model. The record is from RNAcentral. Lineage: Bacteria; Pseudomonadati; Pseudomonadota; Gammaproteobacteria; Oceanospirillales; Halomonadaceae.